Molecule: long non-coding RNA, 338 nt
Organism: Oncorhynchus keta (chum salmon)
Lineage: Eukaryota; Metazoa; Chordata; Actinopteri; Salmoniformes; Salmonidae
Exons: 3
Source: RefSeq, a predicted model, not a curated record
CAGUAAAUCACCAACCUUGUCUUUAUACCUGUUCAGACAACACCCUCCAGGGGGCAGUAAAUCACCAACCUUGUCUUUAUACCUGUUCAGACAACACCCUCCAGGGGGCAGUAAAUCACCAACCUUGUCUUUAUACCUGUUCAGACAACACCCUCCAGGGGGCAGUAAAUCACCAACCUUGUCUUUAUACCUGUUCAGACAACACCCUCCAGGGGGCAGUAAAUCACCAACCUUGUCUUUAUACCUGUUCAGACAACACCCUCCAGGGGGCAGUAAAUCACCAACCUUGUCUUUAUACCUGUUCAGACAACACCCUCCAGGGGGCAGUAAAUCACCAA